UUGGCUUCAACUGAGACCAGAGAAGAAAAGGUCAGCAUUUUCCACAGACACAGGGAAUGAAUUCCUCAUUUAAUUUGGUUUUUCUUAUCAAUCGUCAACACAUCAAUGGAAACGCAUGCACAUAGGUGAAAACUAGUCUCCUUUAUAUAUCCUUCUUGAGUUGUUGUUGGUUACAGGUUUUGGCCUAUAGAGAAAAAAAAGAAAAAACUAAUUUUCAAACAGUGAACGGUGAACAUAAAACUUGAACAUGGAGAAAGAGUGUUCCUUUUCCGGCAAACACUGGUACAACUCGUUGCCUUGUUUCAUCAAAGAUGAAUAGUUCAAAGCGUGCCGGGGAAGCAAGACUCACCUGCAGCGGUUGCCAAUUCAAGUUUCUAGUACCUACAAUCACAAAUCCAUACCGUUGCUAUAAAUGUAACAGUCUCACCAAUUCAAUUUCAGGUUCUGAGGAGCAAUCAAGGAAAGACAGUGGAGUCUUCAAACAUGAUCAUCAACUGAAUAAUAAUCCUAAUACCAAUGGAGCUUUGCUGCCAAGAUUAUCAUCUCCUUCAGCAAGUUCUUCCUUGUGAUUAUCCAUGAUGGGUAACAAGCGUGCAGUUAUAUGUGGAGUUACAUAAUGAUGUUAAUAACAUGAAAAAUCUACUUCUUGAUAACUUUAAAUUCCCAAUUGGGUGCAUAUGUGUCCUCACAGAAGAACAGAAGGACCCCAAUUUAAUUCCAACAAGGAAGAACAUACUGGAAUCAUCAAAUUGACUUGUGAAGGACUGCAAGUCAGAGGACUCAUCAGUCUUCUACUUCUCAGGACAUGGUUUGCAACAACCAGAAGAUCACAAAAGAGAUGAAAUUGACGGACUUGAUGAAACUAUUUGCCCUGUUGAUUUUUCGAGAGAAUGAAUGAUCACUGACAAUGAAAUAAACUCUUUCAUUGUUCAACCACUCAAGCAAGGUGUCACACUUCAUGCUAUUAUUGAUGCUUGUCAUAGUGGAACAACACUUGAUUUAUGUAUCUUUGCAAAAAGGAAAAAUGCAGUUGGAGUUGGAAGGAUAACAAACUUUUAUAAAUUAUUUCAAUUGGUCUCUUUCACAGGUCUCAGUCAUCUCCUUUCAUCAGAUGUUGAAGUUUCCCUGUGUAUGAGUGUUAAGAAUGCAUAGAAAGUUCAACUGCCAGGUUUAGUAGUUUUAUUAUGUGUUUUAUGCAGAUUAAUUUUAUUAUGUGUUUUAUGCCUGUGUAAAUUACAGAAGAAGAGAAGGAUCCCAAUUUAAUGCAGAUUAAUUUUAUUAUGUGUUUUAUGCCUAAAAUUACAUCAUCUAUGACUAUGAUAUAUUAAAGGAUCUAAAUAUUAUCUCUUUGAAGCAGCAUCAAUAAUUUGUAUCAACUUUUCUUUUAUCCGACACAUCCAAAAUCCAUUGUAAAUCAUAAUUGAGCAGUUCCUGAAUGUAUUUUAACGAUCAAAUUGGAUUCUUUGCUUCGCUGCAUUGCAGGACCCUCAUUUAUCAUCGUCAGAGAAAUUUGAUAUUGCUACAAGAAUAUUUAAAUUGUGAGCAUGUACGUUGUAAAAGACAAUUCUCUCAUUUGUUAAUUGGUUGGUAAGGUCAGGACAAAAUAUUAUUGGUUAUUCAUCAUAGCUAUCUCAUGACAGAAGUAAUUCAUGAUUAAAUUGGAUUUUUCUGAUCAUAAAAGCGCAGGACUUUAGGCUUGUGUAUAGUAAGCUUUAGAUAUGUUUCACUCUACCAAUUUCUAAGUAAAUUGAAUUGAAGGUGUAACAGUGAAUCCUUUAUAGGAAAUAAGAGAGUUUUACUUUUUUUUUUGUGAAGAAAUAGAGUAAUACUUCUAAUAUAUAAAUAGAUAGAUAGAGAUUCGAGAGAUACACAGUUACACACGAGCAGAAAAAUUAAAAUUAAUGAUGCAACUCAGUGAUGAAACAUAUUCUCUCAUCGAUAGUGAUGACCUUUGUGACGGACUGUAGGA
This is a long non-coding RNA of Glycine soja, 1969 nucleotides long. RefSeq lists it as uncharacterized. NCBI's taxonomy places the organism in Eukaryota, Viridiplantae, Streptophyta, Magnoliopsida, Fabales, Fabaceae. The record is from RefSeq and is a predicted model, not a curated record. The transcript has 4 exons.